AAGUCGUAACAAGGUUUCCGUAGGUGAACCUGCGGAAGGAUCAUUCAAAUAAAGCGGUAGGAGUGGGGGUCUGAUCUGUAAGUGGAGAGCAACAGUCGGCUCCUCCCGAAAUGUCUUAUCUCCCCCCACAGCCUGAAGGCCGAUUACAACCCCUUGUUAUCUACACUUGUUGCUUUGGGGGUGCCAGGCCCCGAGGCCCACUCCUGCAUUUAGUGACGUCUGAGUACUAUAUAAUGUUUAAA
This 242-nucleotide unclassified non-coding RNA is filed under the name plant metagenome. RNAcentral's name for it is "partial contains small subunit ribosomal RNA and internal transcribed spacer 1". The stretch from base 1 to 46 matches the Rfam family "Eukaryotic small subunit ribosomal RNA", at positions 1786 to 1831 of the family's 1831-position model. The record is from RNAcentral.